CAGUAGCCGCGGUAAAACGGAGGGUGCAAGCGUUAUCCGGAUUCACUGGGUUUAAAGGGUGCGUAGGUGGGCAGGUAAGUCAGUGGUGAAAUCUCCGGGCUUAACCCGGAAACUGCCGUUGAUACUAUCUGUCUUGAAUAUAGUGGAGGUGAGCGGAAUAUGUCAUGUAGCGGUGAAAUGCUUAGAUAUGACAUAGAACACCAAUUGCGAAGGCAGCUCGCUACACUAUCAUUGACACUGAGGCACGAAAGCGUGGGGAUCAAACAGGAUUAGAUACCCCAGUAGUCCCUGUCUCUUAUAC
This 301-nucleotide ribosomal RNA is filed under the name uncultured bacterium. RNAcentral describes it as "partial 16S ribosomal RNA". It matches the Rfam family "Bacterial small subunit ribosomal RNA", at positions 509 to 807 of the family's 1533-position model. The record is from RNAcentral.